UGGUCAUUACCAAGGCUGCUAGGAUAUUACUGUUUCUGGUGAGCUGUGGACAUGACCAUAAAGUAAGGCCAUCAGACUCUUGACUUGCCACAUUGUGUGGCACUAGGUCUGCUGGGAAUAAAG
Molecule: small nucleolar RNA, 123 nt
Filed under: Dromaius novaehollandiae (emu)
Lineage: Eukaryota; Metazoa; Chordata; Aves; Casuariiformes; Dromaiidae
Also listed under: 3 other names
Description: Small nucleolar RNA SNORA32 (ENSDNVG00000016878.1)
Source: RNAcentral